UGGUUUUAAAGGGAUGAAGCAGAUGAUGUGCUAAUGCUUUUAGGUAUGAGUUUUAAUGAGUUCUUUCUUGGAAAAUGUUAAGAAAAGACAAACAUGGUGGUAUGGUUUGUAAGGUUAUUUAAUGGUGAGUUUUGAUUUUAUAGUAGCAGGAAGUAGACUUUUGUUUUUGUUUUUGUGAAGAAGAGACUAUCAAUGUAGUGUGUAAGGUUGUUGUUUAGCUUGUGUGAGGGAGAGUCCCUAGGGAAAAGGAAGUGAGAGUACUCAACAUGGUUUUUUU
This 277-nucleotide long non-coding RNA is filed under the name Lathyrus oleraceus (garden pea). Its description in RNAcentral is "Pisum sativum (pea) long non-coding RNA (PSAT_LNC018391)". The record is from RNAcentral. Lineage: Eukaryota; Viridiplantae; Streptophyta; Magnoliopsida; Fabales; Fabaceae.